UCCAGACUCCUACGGGAGGCAGCAGUGGGGAAUAUUGCACAAUGGGGGGAACCCUGAUGCAGCGACGCCGCGUGGGUGAAGGAGCGUUUCGGCGCGUAAAGCCCUAUCGGCAGGGAAGAAGGAGGACGGUACCUGACUAAGAAGCCCCGGCUAACUACGUGCCAGCAGCCGCGGUAAUACGUAGGGGGCAAGCGUUAUCCGGAUUUACUGGGUGUAAAGGGGGCGCAGACGGCAGCGCAAGCCAGGAGUGAAAGCCCGGGGCCCAACCCCGGGACUGCUCUUGGAACUGCGCGGCUGGAGUGCAGGAGGGGCAGGCGGAAGUCCUGGUGUAGCGGUGAAAUGCGUAGAUAUCAGGAGGAACACCGGUGGCGAAGGCGGCCUGCUGGACUGCGACUGACGUUGAGGCCCGAAAGCGUGGGGAGCAAACAGGAUUAGAUACCCGGGUAGCA
This 449-nucleotide ribosomal RNA is filed under the name uncultured bacterium. Its description in RNAcentral is "bacterial SSU rRNA". It matches the Rfam family "Bacterial small subunit ribosomal RNA", at positions 330 to 795 of the family's 1533-position model. The record is from RNAcentral.